RNAcentral lists this non-coding RNA (57 nucleotides) under Schistosoma margrebowiei. The record is from RNAcentral. Lineage: Eukaryota; Metazoa; Platyhelminthes; Trematoda; Strigeidida; Schistosomatidae.
AUCCAUCUGACGAGUCCCAAAUAGGACGAAACACGAUGGUCGCGCCAUAUCGUGGAG